AAUGCCGUCAUCUUAUACUUGGGAGUCAGACUGUGGGUGAUAAGAUUCAUAGUCGAAAGGGCAACAGCCCAGAUCGUCAGCUAAGGUCCCUAAAUGUAAGUUAAGGGGUAAAGGAUGUGGGAUUGCACAGACAACCAGGAUGUUGGCUUAGAAGCAGCCACUCAUUCAAAGAGUGCGUAAUAGCUCACUGGUCGAGUGAUCCU
This 203-nucleotide ribosomal RNA is filed under the name Clostridioides difficile. RNAcentral's name for it is "partial 23S ribosomal RNA". It matches the Rfam family "Bacterial large subunit ribosomal RNA", at positions 959 to 1160 of the family's 2925-position model. The record is from RNAcentral. Lineage: Bacteria; Bacillati; Bacillota; Clostridia; Peptostreptococcales; Peptostreptococcaceae.